GACGAACGCUGGCGGCGUGCCUAACACAUGCAAGUCGAGCGGGAACCUCAGGAGGGGUAACCCUUCUGAGGGGAGAGCGGCGAACGGGUGAGUAACACGUGGGCAACCUGCCCCGGACACCGGGAUAACCCAGGGAAACCUGAGCUAAUACCGGAUACUUCGGCGCGAUCGCAUGGUCGUGCCGGGGAAAGCUCCGACGGUCCGGGAUGGGCCCGCGGCCUAUCAGCUUGUUGGUGGGGUAACGGCCCACCAAGGCGACGACGGGUAGCUGGUCUGAGAGGACGGCCAGCCACACUGGGACUGAGACACGGCCCAGACUCCUACGGGAGGCAGCAGUGGGGGAUCUUGCGCUAAUGCGCGAAAGCGUGACGCGAGCGACGCCGCGUGGGGAUGAAGGCCUUC
Molecule: ribosomal RNA, 402 nt
Filed under: uncultured bacterium
Lineage: Bacteria
Description: bacterial SSU rRNA
Rfam family: Bacterial small subunit ribosomal RNA
Source: RNAcentral